RNAcentral lists this transfer RNA (73 nucleotides) under Ilumatobacteraceae bacterium. RNAcentral describes it as "tRNA-Leu". It matches the Rfam family "tRNA". From Rfam's summary of the family: Transfer RNA (tRNA) molecules are approximately 80 nucleotides in length. Their secondary structure includes four short double-helical elements and three loops (D, anti-codon, and T loops). The record is from RNAcentral. Lineage: Bacteria; Bacillati; Actinomycetota; Acidimicrobiia; Acidimicrobiales; Ilumatobacteraceae. RNAcentral also lists the same sequence under 2 other names.
GCCGACGUAGCCCAAUGGCAGAGGCACAGCGCUUAGGACGCUGCAAGUGAGAGUUCGAGUCUCUCCGUCGGCA